Molecule: small nuclear RNA, 114 nt
Filed under: Trifolium pratense (red clover)
Lineage: Eukaryota; Viridiplantae; Streptophyta; Magnoliopsida; Fabales; Fabaceae
Description: snRNA U2
Rfam family: U2 spliceosomal RNA
About the family: U2 is a small nuclear RNA (snRNA) component of the spliceosome (involved in pre-mRNA splicing). Complementary binding between U2 snRNA (in an area lying towards the 5' end but 3' to hairpin I) and the branchpoint sequence (BPS) of the intron results the bulging out of an unpaired adenosine, on the BPS, which initiates a nucleophilic attack at the intronic 5' splice site, thus starting the first of two transesterification reactions that mediate splicing.
Source: RNAcentral
AUACUUUUCUCGCCCUUUUAGCUAAGGUUAAGUGUAGUAUCUGUUCUUAUCAGCUUAAUAUUUGAUAUGUGGCCCACCAAUAACAGUUCAAAUCUAGUCAACUAGAUAUCAUUU